UAUAAAUUGGCCAUCAUAUUAAGGAAAUAACGUUACAAUUAUGGGAAAUUUUAUUAUGAUUAAAUAUUUUAAUGAUAGUAUUUGACGAUACGUUUUCUUCGCGGCUAUAUUUUGUGUUAAAUUAAUAGUUGUUAAAAAUUUUAGAGAUAUCCUUGCAAAGCAUAAAGUAGCAAUUGUAUAUUGAAUGCAAGGUUAUUAAAUUCAUAAAAAUGCAUAAACUUCUUGUUUAUAAGUUAAAAUCUAUGAGGGAUCACUAUUAAUGUUUUCGUUGUAAAUUUAUUAAGAACCCGGAGAACGUUAAAUUUGUUUAAAUAUAAACAAACUUUAGUUAAUGUGAUAUAGAAGUAUCACAUUACUUAUAAAAGUGGAACAACACACGGAAAAUAAGUAAAUACGCCACUAAUUUCUGACAGGACAUGGUCUCUUGUUUAAACAUCUUUACGUAAUAAUAGGUGUCUCGGAAUGACCAUUGUGCAAUAAGUGUGGAGUAGAAGAGGAAGACUCAUUUCAUAUAAUGUGCGAAUGUGAAGUCGUCUUAUCCACACUAAGAUCAAACUACUUGAUUAAACCUUUUCCUGAAAAAGAAGAUAACAAAAACUUAAGACCCAGAGAGAUAUUUAACUUUAUUAGAAUGACAGGACCUUUUGGAACCCACGUGGGGUGACUUGAUAGUCCACCCUAUAUAAAAUAAUAGGGAUAAUGUAUUAACACUUCGGUGUGUAAACCGAAUAAAGACAAUUCGGUAUGAGGUGUGUAUAAUGGACCAACAGGUCGAGUGCAUGGGAAUUUUGUUCACCUCACUAAUAACUAAAACUCUUCUUUUUCCUCGCCUUAAUCCCAUAAAAUGGGGGUCGGUCAAUUCACUAAAAAAAGUCACGAAUAACUAAAACUAAAAUCUAUAUUAUUAUUAAAGCCUUAAAAAGUAUCACUUGGAAUUAAAAUAUUUCAACUUAUAUAACACAAAAAUGUGUUUCUAAAUCAUUUAGUAGGCUGUUAAACCGAACAAUGAAGUUCACUGCUUAAAAAUCUUGUUACUCUUGUUGAUAAAUACUCACAGGUUAAACGUAAUAUACAAUCAUUUUAAUAACGUUUUUUGAAAUUGUCUCAUUUAAUUAAUUAUGUAACAUUGUUACUCAAAAAUAUUUUGAAGUUUAUUGUAAAGAUCAAAAUACUUUUCAGGUAUUAUCCUUCAUUACAUAUGUCAUACA
Molecule: long non-coding RNA, 1208 nt
Organism: Daktulosphaira vitifoliae (grape phylloxera)
Lineage: Eukaryota; Metazoa; Arthropoda; Insecta; Hemiptera; Phylloxeridae
Exons: 3
Source: RefSeq, a predicted model, not a curated record